RNAcentral lists this ribosomal RNA (478 nucleotides) under uncultured bacterium. RNAcentral describes it as "partial 16S ribosomal RNA". It matches the Rfam family "Bacterial small subunit ribosomal RNA", at positions 28 to 523 of the family's 1533-position model. The record is from RNAcentral.
GACGAACGCUGGCGGCGUGCCUAACACAUGCAAGUCGAACGGUAAGGCCCUUCGGGGUACACGAGUGGCGAACGGGUGAGUAACACGUGGGUGAUCUGCCCUGCACUUCGGGAUAAGCCUGGGAAACUGGGUCUAAUACCGGAUAGGACCCUGGGAUGCAUGUCCUGGGGUGGAAAGCUUUUGCGGUGUGGAAUGGGCCCGCGGCCUAUCAGCUUGUUGGUGGGGUGAUGGCCUACCAAGGCGACGACGGGUAGCCGGCCUGAGAGGGUGACCGGCCACACUGGGACUGAGAUACGGCCCAGACUCCUACGGGAGGCAGCAGUGGGGAAUAUUGCACAAUGGGCGCAAGCCUGAUGCAGCGACGCCGCGUGAGGGAUGACGGCCUUCGGGUUGUAAACCUCUUUCAGCACCGACGAAGCGCAAGUGACGGUAGGUGCAGAAGAAGGACCGGCCAACUACGUGCCAGCAGCCGCCGUAA